GCCGUGCGACCCAGUUUCUGUUCGGCCUCUGUUCAGCCACCGUGAGUGGCUGAGCAGGUCGCCGGAGCCGCCGUGCAGCCUCGUCGGACCGCCGCCUAUCUUCCCGACCUCUUGCCGCCCCCAACCCUCUCUCUUUCUCUCUGUUUUGUAGCGGAUCCAGCAAACCCACAGAAUGGGUUUCCAGCGGCUUUAGGCCCGCUUUUGGGCCGUUUCCGGGCCCCGAACCCGAGGCCCGCUUUGGAGUUUGUCGUUCCUCGCGUCGCCGCCGUCGGAUUGAUCCGAUUUGCGCGCGAUUUGGUGAGUAAUCUCACUAAUCCUGGAUUAGUUGGCUAAUUAUGCUUAAGGUUGGUUUAGUUUUAAUUAAUUAUGUUUAGGUUGUUAGAUUUAAAUAAAUUAGCAUUUAUUAGUCCAUUGUGAUGUGAUUUAGAUAAAUUGAUUGUGCAAUUAGCAAGUAGACGUGGUCUACUAAUUAUUGGAAGUGCCUCAGGAUUUUUCCCGACCCUUAGUGGGCUCUAAUUAGGCUUUUCGGGCCUAAGUGGAUAUUUUUAGUAUUUAAAUAUUAAUUUUCGGAAUUAAAUUAAAUAAUUAUUUAUUUUAUGAAAAUUCAACUGAGAUGGCCCGAGACCGGAAUAUUGUGCUGAUGACCAUGGUGAAGUCCGUUUAUGUAAUCGGGCUUUAUUUUGAGCUAAAUUGAAUUUUUAAUAUUAAUUAUUUAAUUUUAGAAAUUAAUUAUUUAAUUAAUUAUUUUUCAGAAAUUAAGAUGUUGAUG
RNAcentral lists this long non-coding RNA (769 nucleotides) under Eucalyptus grandis. RNAcentral's name for it is "long non-coding RNA (EGRA_LNC001636)". Lineage: Eukaryota; Viridiplantae; Streptophyta; Magnoliopsida; Myrtales; Myrtaceae. The record is from RNAcentral.